This is a long non-coding RNA of Cannabis sativa, 690 nucleotides long. RefSeq lists it as uncharacterized. NCBI's taxonomy places the organism in Eukaryota, Viridiplantae, Streptophyta, Magnoliopsida, Rosales, Cannabaceae. The transcript is spliced from 3 exons. The record is from RefSeq and is a predicted model, not a curated record.
AAAAAAGCAUUUACCGACCUAAAUUAGAAACAAAACUCAUUGAACAGUAUAUUUAUAAAGUGACAAAAUAUGAAAACAAUUUCUAAUUCAAAAGGAGAGAAAGCCACAUUUUCAUCUCAUCUCUCUCUUUCAUCGAUUUUCAUUGCACUCUUCAGUUUUUAGUCAUCACAAUCAAUCUCAAGCUCUGCGCGACAUGGAUAAGUAUCAUUGAUCAUUUUGUCACUGCAAUAAUGACAAUAUUGAUAUAGAUGUAUCUCUGCUUUUAUAUUCUGAUUUUGUCAAAUUUUUAUCUAAGCUCUGAUUUAUGUACUCUGGUUUCCCUUAUCUCUUGCUUUGAAUCGAUUUCUAAAGCUUGAAAUUUCAUGGAGGUGUGCUUGAAAUGUUGCCAGACAGGACAAAAUCUCUACAGCUUUGUUCACUCUGAUUACACUGAGGUUCCUUGACAGAGGAAACCACGAAGAGCUUCCUAAAGGAUUAUUUUGUGCUUUUCCUUGACAGAGGCUGUAACACCCUAACUAUCUUAGGCGUAUUACGUGAUUUUUAAACGUACUGUGCAGCUCGUUGCUAGUCAACGAGGUUUAUGGAAAAACGUGAUUAAUUAAAAUUUUGCUUUUUCAUUAAACUUAUAAACCAUUUUACAAAAGUCUCGGGAUCCCGAUUUAUAAAAAUAUUUACAAAAGUUUCACUGUU